This 916-nucleotide ribosomal RNA is filed under the name uncultured bacterium. Its description in RNAcentral is "bacterial SSU rRNA". It matches the Rfam family "Bacterial small subunit ribosomal RNA", at positions 8 to 883 of the family's 1533-position model. The record is from RNAcentral.
AGAGUUUGAUCCUGGCUCAGGACGAACGCUGGCGGCGUGCCUAAUACAUGCAAGUCGAGCGAGCUUGCCUAGAUGAUUUUAGUGCUUGCACUAAAUGAAACUAGAUACAAGCGAGCGGCGGACGGGUGAGUAACACGUGGGUAACCUGCCCAAGAGACUGGGAUAACACCUGGAAACAGAUGCUAAUACCGGAUAACAACACUAGACGCAUGUCUAGAGUUUGAAAGAUGGUUCUGCUAUCACUCUUGGAUGGACCUGCGGUGCAUUAGCUAGUUGGUAAGGUAACGGCUUACCAAGGCAAUGAUGCAUAGCCGAGUUGAGAGACUGAUCGGCCACAUUGGGACUGAGACACGGCCCAAACUCCUACGGGAGGCAGCAGUAGGGAAUCUUCCACAAUGGACGAAAGUCUGAUGGAGCAACGCCGCGUGAGUGAAGAAGGGUUUCGGCUCGUAAAGCUCUGUUGGUAGUGAAGAAAGAUAGAGGUAGUAACUGGCCUUUAUUUGACGGUAAUUACUUAGAAAGUCACGGCUAACUACGUGCCAGCAGCCGCGGUAAUACGUAGGUGGCAAGCGUUGUCCGGAUUUAUUGGGCGUAAAGCGAGUGCAGGCGGUUCAAUAAGUCUGAUGUGAAAGCCUUCGGCUCAACCGGAGAAUUGCAUCAGAAACUGUUGAACUUGAGUGCAGAAGAGGAGAGUGGAACUCCAUGUGUAGCGGUGGAAUGCGUAGAUAUAUGGAAGAACACCAGUGGCGAAGGCGGCUCUCUGGUCUGCAACUGACGCUGAGGCUCGAAAGCAUGGGUAGCGAACAGGAUUAGAUACCCUGGUAGUCCAUGCCGUAAACGAUGAGUGCUAAGUGUUGGGAGGUUUCCGCCUCUCAGUGCUGCAGCUCACGCAUUAAGCACUCCGCCUGGGGAGUAC